CGGAGUGUGGCUCAGUUGGUAGAGCGCUCGCUUCGGGUGCGAGAGGUCCCCGGUUCGAAUCCGGGCACUCCGA
This 73-nucleotide transfer RNA is filed under the name Candidatus Woesebacteria bacterium RBG_16_41_13. Its description in RNAcentral is "tRNA-Pro". It matches the Rfam family "tRNA". From Rfam's summary of the family: Transfer RNA (tRNA) molecules are approximately 80 nucleotides in length. Their secondary structure includes four short double-helical elements and three loops (D, anti-codon, and T loops). The record is from RNAcentral. RNAcentral also lists the same sequence under 6 other names. Lineage: Bacteria; Candidatus Woeseibacteriota.